UGCAUUAGUGUUGGUAUGAUCG
Molecule: small nuclear RNA, 22 nt
Filed under: Arabidopsis thaliana (thale cress)
Lineage: Eukaryota; Viridiplantae; Streptophyta; Magnoliopsida; Brassicales; Brassicaceae
Description: snRNA_17175
Source: RNAcentral